CCAGAAGGCACGGAUGAAUUGUUGAGAGCUUUUACGGUCUUAAUUGAUGUAGUCCACAUCUAAUGAUGCAUAUGUUUUGGAAGUCAUCACAAGACAUUCUGCUCAGGAAAGAUGGCAAGCCAGAUCUCCCUAGGUUGAGGACUCUUAAAAGAUAUUACAAUGGAAAAGUGAGGCGUCAGUUGUUUGCCGUUCUUUGGAUUCUGAUGAUUUUCCUCGAUUGCAAUAUAAGGACUGUGUAAGCUUAUCGAGAGGGGAGGAACGGAUGUGGAUGAAACAACCAGCUUAAUCAAAAGCCUUCCUCUGUCCUUUCCACCGGUACUUUUUCAUCUUAUUUUUUAUGCCAAACCCGCCAGAGGAGCAAUUAGGCGGGGCAUCCAUUGAACAAAAAACGACAGCAUCAGCCUCUUCCCUUCCCUGAGUCUUCAUCAAAAGAAUUACAUGUUUUGUUUGCUUUUGAAUGCUUGAAGAAACAAUUACCAUGGAGAUAAGAUCUGCAUAAUCCAUAUUUCCUCUAAUCAUAAAGCACACUAUGUGACAUUCCUGCCUAUUUUAAGAAUACUUAUGUAGCCAGGUACACAUUUUUCCACCCAUGGCUUUCUCAAAUCUCACCUUUUCUGGACUUAUUCUGCCCCCUACUGGGUGUGGCGAUUUUAUUUUUUUAAUUAAUUUUAAUUCUAAUUCUCCCAAUAAAGCUUUCAAUAUGCAACCUUGUUUUUAUGUCCUCAUUCAGGGAAGCGUAGCCUCAGAGUGUGCUGCUCACAUUCGUAGUGUCUUUCCCGUGUCAUUU
Long non-coding RNA from Gasterosteus aculeatus aculeatus (three-spined stickleback), 787 nucleotides. The record is from Ensembl. Lineage: Eukaryota; Metazoa; Chordata; Actinopteri; Perciformes; Gasterosteidae.